Molecule: ribosomal RNA, 253 nt
Filed under: uncultured bacterium
Lineage: Bacteria
Description: partial 16S ribosomal RNA
Rfam family: Bacterial small subunit ribosomal RNA
Source: RNAcentral
UACGGGGGGAGCAAGCGUUGCUCGGAAUCACUGGGCGUAAAGGGCGCGUAGGCGGGAUGGCAAGUCGGUCGUGAAAUCCUUCGGCUCAACCGAAGAACGUCGGCCGAUACUGCCGUUCUUGAGGGAUGCAGAGGAGAUUGGAAUUCCCGGUGUAGCGGUGAAAUGUGUAGAGAUCGGGAGGAACACCGGUGGCGAAGGCGGGUCUCUGGGCAUCUCCUGACGCUGAGGCGCGAAAGCGUGGGGAGCAAACGGG